UUUACUUAUAAAACGAACAAAAAAAUUUACUUUUAUCACAUUCAAAGGAGGAAAAGUAUGGCUCAAUCUCUCAUCUUUGUUUAUGCUUUGAUCAUAUUUCUUUUUCUAUUUCGUGUUGAAGCGGAACAUCUUAAAAUUCGUUGUGUUACUGAUGAUGAUUGUCCAAAAGUGGAAAAGCCUCUAUAUAUGUAUUGUGGUAAUCAUUGGUGUGCUUACAAGUUACACUUUGUUUAGGAAUUAGUAAGUUAAAAUGUAAUGAUGUUAUAUCUAAGUGAAUAAUAUUAUUUGUGCGUCCUAAUAUUUCAAUUUCUAGAAUUUACUUCAAAUUUUAAUUUGUACUUUCUCUAGAUUUUCAAUUUAGUUGUAUUUUUUCUUGA
Molecule: long non-coding RNA, 377 nt
Organism: Medicago truncatula (barrel medic)
Lineage: Eukaryota; Viridiplantae; Streptophyta; Magnoliopsida; Fabales; Fabaceae
Exons: 2
Source: RefSeq, a predicted model, not a curated record